GCCGGGCAUGGUGGCACAUGCCUGUAAUCCCAGCUACUUGGGAGGCUGAGGCAGGAGAUUCGUUUGAACCCGGGAGGUCUAGGUUGUGGUGAGCUGAGAUCGUGCCACUGCACUCCAGCCUGGGCAACAAGAGUGAAACUCUGCCUCAA
Molecule: small RNA, 149 nt
Filed under: Pongo abelii (Sumatran orangutan)
Lineage: Eukaryota; Metazoa; Chordata; Mammalia; Primates; Hominidae
Description: Metazoan signal recognition particle RNA (ENSPPYG00000033278.1)
Rfam family: Metazoan signal recognition particle RNA
About the family: The signal recognition particle (SRP) is a universally conserved ribonucleoprotein. It is involved in the co-translational targeting of proteins to membranes.
Source: Rfam by way of RNAcentral